CAGUAGCCGCGGUAAUACGAAGGGUGCAAGCGUUAAUCGGAAUUACUGGGCGUAAAGCGUGCGUAGGCGGUGAGUUAAGUCUGCUGUGAAAUCCCCGGGCUCAACCUGGGAAUGGCAGUGGAUACUGGCUCGCUAGAGUGUGUCAGAGGAUGGUGGAAUUCCCGGUGUAGCGGUGAAAUGCGUAGAGAUCGGGAGGAACAUCAGUGGCGAAGGCGGCCAUCUGGGACAACACUGACGCUGAGGCACGAAAGCGUGGGGAGCAAACAGGAUUAGAUACCCGAGUAGUCCCUGUCUCUUAUAC
RNAcentral lists this ribosomal RNA (301 nucleotides) under uncultured bacterium. RNAcentral describes it as "partial 16S ribosomal RNA". It matches the Rfam family "Bacterial small subunit ribosomal RNA", at positions 509 to 807 of the family's 1533-position model. The record is from RNAcentral.